RNAcentral lists this small RNA (574 nucleotides) under Pan troglodytes (chimpanzee). Its description in RNAcentral is "processed transcript". The record is from RNAcentral. Lineage: Eukaryota; Metazoa; Chordata; Mammalia; Primates; Hominidae.
AAAGAAAAAUGCCGGCACAAACCUCAGUGGUGGUUCUGUGGUUGUUUCUGUCUUUUUUUGAUAGAAUCUUUGAUUAGUAUCGAAUUUACUGUAUUUGGCCAUGUGAACUAUUGGGAGCCUCCUAGGAUAAAAGCUUCGAUGAUGAAGAAUCAGUGGAUGGAAACAGGCCAUCAUCAGCUGCAUCAGCCUUCAAGGUUCCUGCACCUAAAACAUCCGGAAAUCCUGUCAACAGUGCAAGGAAGCCUGGUUCAGCAGGUGGCCCUAAGGUUGGAGGUGCUUCUAAGGAAGGAGGUGCUGGAGCAGUUGAUGAAGAUGAUUUUAUAAAAGCUUUUACAGAUGUCCCUUCUGUUCAGAUUUAUUCUAGUCGAGAACUCGAAGAAACAUUAAAUAAAAUCAGGGAAAUUUUGUCAGAUGAUAAACAUGACUGGGAUCAGCGUGCCAAUGCACUGAAGAAAAUUCGAUCACUGCUUGUUGCUGGAGCUGCACAGUAUGAUUGCUUUUUUCAACAUUUACGAUUGUUGGAUGGAGCACUUAAACUUUCAGCUAAGGAUCUUAGAUCCCAGGUGGUUAGAGA